RNAcentral lists this ribosomal RNA (301 nucleotides) under uncultured bacterium. RNAcentral's name for it is "partial 16S ribosomal RNA". It matches the Rfam family "Bacterial small subunit ribosomal RNA", at positions 509 to 807 of the family's 1533-position model. The record is from RNAcentral.
CAGCAGCCGCGGUAAUACAGAGGAUGCAAGCGUUAUCCGGAAUGAUUGGGCGUAAAGCGUCUGUAGGUGGCUUUUCAAGUCCGCCGUCAAAUCCCAGGGCUCAACCCUGGACAGGCGGUGGAAACUACCAAGCUGGAGUACGGUAGGGGCAGAGGGAAUUUCCGGUGGAGCGGUGAAAUGCGUAGAGAUGUGGAGGAAUACCGAUGGCGAAGGCAGCCCCCUGGGCCAAUACUGACGCUCAUGCACGAAAGCGUGGGGAGCAAACAGGAUUAGAUACCCCUGUAGUCCCUGUCUCUUAUAC